RNAcentral lists this ribosomal RNA (2961 nucleotides) under Salmonella enterica subsp. enterica serovar Typhimurium. RNAcentral's name for it is "bacterial LSU rRNA". It matches the Rfam family "Bacterial large subunit ribosomal RNA". The record is from RNAcentral. Lineage: Bacteria; Pseudomonadati; Pseudomonadota; Gammaproteobacteria; Enterobacterales; Enterobacteriaceae.
AGCGUACACGGUGGAUGCCCUGGCAGUCAGAGGCGAUGAAGGGCGUGCUAAUCUGCGAUAAGCGCCGGUAAGGUGAUAUGAACCGUUAUAACCGGCGAUACCCGAAUGGGGAAACCCAGUGUGAUUCGUCACACUAUCAUUAACUGAAUCCAUAGGUUAAUGAGGCGAACCGGGGGAACUGAAACAUCUAAGUACCCCGAGGAAAAGAAAUCAACCGAGAUUCCCCCAGUAGCGGCGAGCGAACGGGGAGGAGCCCAGAGCCUGAAUCAGCAUGUGUGUUAGUGGAAGCGUCUGGAAAGGCGCGCGAUACAGGGUGACAGCCCCGUACACAAAAGCGCAUGUGCUGUGAGCUCGAUGAGUAGGGCGGGACACGUGGUAUCCUGUCUGAAUAUGGGGGGACCAUCCUCCAAGGCUAAAUACUCCUGACUGACCGAUAGUGAACCAGUACCGUGAGGGAAAGGCGAAAAGAACCCCGGCGAGGGGAGUGAAAAAGAACCUGAAACCGUGUACGUACAAGCAGUGGGAGCCCCACCACCAAAGCAUUCUCUGGUGUUGAAGGCCCUGCAAAGCAGCAUCGCGGUGGCGGAGCGUCGUUUGCGACGCCCAACACACAAAACAAGCGGUGAAUGCUUUGGGGUGGGGUGACUGCGUACCUUUUGUAUAAUGGGUCAGCGACUUAUAUUCUGUAGCAAGGUUAACCGAAUAGGGGAGCCGGAGGGAAACCGAGUCUUAAUUGGGCGUUAAGUUGCAGGGUAUAGACCCGAAACCCGGUGAUCUAGCCAUGGGCAGGUUGAAGGUUGGGUAACACUAACUGGAGGACCGAACCGACUAAUGUUGAAAAAUUAGCGGAUGACCUGUGGCUGGGGGUGAAAGGCCAAUCAAACCGGGAGAUAGCUGGUUCUCCCCGAAAGCUAUUUAGGUAGCGCCUCGUGAAUUCAUCUCCGGGGGUAGAGCACUGUUUCGGCUAGGGGGCCAUCCCGGCUUACCAACCCGAUGCAAACUGCGAAUACCGGAGAAUGUUAUCACGGGAGACACACGGCGGGUGCUAACGUCCGUCGUGAAGAGGGAAACAACCCAGACCGCCAGCUAAGGUCCCAAAGUCAUGGUUAAGUGGGAAACGAUGUGGGAAGGCCCAGACAGCCAGGAUGUUGGCUUAGAAGCAGCCAUCAUUUAAAGAAAGCGUAAUAGCUCACUGGUCGAGUCGGCCUGCGCGGAAGAUGUAACGGGGCUAAACCAUGCACCGAAGCUGCGGCAGCGAACGUAUCACCCAAGACAACUUUACGGAGUUGACGAUUGACGGAGCGAAGCGACGUCAAAGCGUUCAUUAAAGUCGAGUUGGCUUAGGGAUACGUUCGUUGGGUAGGGGAGCGUUCUGUAAGCCUGUGAAGGUGUGUCGUGAGGCAUGCUGGAGGUAUCAGAAGUGCGAAUGCUGACAUAAGUAACGAUAAAGCGGGUGAAAAGCCCGCUCGCCGGAAGACCAAGGGUUCCUGUCCAACGUUAAUCGGGGCAGGGUGAGUCGACCCCUAAGGCGAGGCCGAAAGGCGUAGUCGAUGGGAAACGGGUUAAUAUUCCCGUACUUGGUGUUACUGCGAAGGGGGGACGGAGAAGGCUAUGUUGGCCGGGCGACGGUUGUCCCGGUUUAAGCGUGUAGGUGUGUGUUCCAGGUAAAUCCGGUUCACUUUAACACUGAGGCGUGAUGACGAGGCACUACGGUGCUGAAGCAACAAAUGCCCUGCUUCCAGGAAAAGCCUCUAAGCAUCAGGUAACAUCAAAUCGUACCCCAAACCGACACAGGUGGUCAGGUAGAGAAUACCAAGGCGCUUGAGAGAACUCGGGUGAAGGAACUAGGCAAAAUGGUGCCGUAACUUCGGGAGAAGGCACGCUGACACGUAGGUGAAGUGAUUUACUCACGGAGCUGAAGUCAGUCGAAGAUACCAGCUGGCUGCAACUGUUUAUUAAAAACACAGCACUGUGCAAACACGAAAGUGGACGUAUACGGUGUGACGCCUGCCCGGUGCCGGAAGGUUAAUUGAUGGGGUCAGCGCAAGCGAAGCUCCUGAUCGAAGCCCCGGUAAACGGCGGCCGUAACUAUAACGGUCCUAAGGUAGCGAAAUUCCUUGUCGGGUAAGUUCCGACCUGCACGAAUGGCGUAAUGAUGGCCAGGCUGUCUCCACCCGAGACUCAGUGAAAUUGAACUCGCUGUGAAGAUGCAGUGUACCCGCGGCAAGACGGAAAGACCCCGUGAACCUUUACUAUAGCUUGACACUGAACAUUGAGCCUUGAUGUGUAGGAUAGGUGGGAGGCUUUGAAGUGUGGACGCCAGUCUGCAUGGAGCCGACCUUGAAAUACCACCCUUUAAUGUUUGAUGUUCUAACGUGGACCCGUAAUCCGGGUUGCGGACAGUGUCUGGUGGGUAGUUUGACUGGGGCGGUCUCCUCCUAAAGAGUAACGGAGGAGCACGAAGGUUGGCUAAUCCUGGUCGGACAUCAGGAGGUUAGUGCAAUGGCAUAAGCCAGCUUGACUGCGAGCGUGACGGCGCGAGCAGGUGCGAAAGCAGGUCAUAGUGAUCCGGUGGUUCUGAAUGGAAGGGCCAUCGCUCAACGGAUAAAAGGUACUCCGGGGAUAACAGGCUGAUACCGCCCAAGAGUUCAUAUCGACGGCGGUGUUUGGCACCUCGAUGUCGGCUCAUCACAUCCUGGGGCUGAAGUAGGUCCCAAGGGUAUGGCUGUUCGCCAUUUAAAGUGGUACGCGAGCUGGGUUUAGAACGUCGUGAGACAGUUCGGUCCCUAUCUGCCGUGGGCGCUGGAGAACUGAGGGGGGCUGCUCCUAGUACGAGAGGACCGGAGUGGACGCAUCACUGGUGUUCGGGUUGUCAUGCCAAUGGCACUGCCCGGUAGCUAAAUGCGGAAGAGAUAAGUGCUGAAAGCAUCUAAGCACGAAACUUGCCCCGAGAUGAGUUCU